Cryptomeria japonica (Japanese cedar) is the source of this 487-nucleotide long non-coding RNA. RefSeq lists it as uncharacterized. Lineage: Eukaryota; Viridiplantae; Streptophyta; Pinopsida; Cupressales; Cupressaceae. The transcript has 3 exons. The record is from RefSeq and is a predicted model, not a curated record.
UUAACCAUUGUUGCAAGGUGGGAGCGUUGGCAGGCUAUAGAUGGUGGAUGGAUAGACAAUGCAAAGCCCAAGGCAAGAGAAUGCCCAGAUACAGAGGAAGGGGGCAAAAACUAGAUCUCGGUUAGCGUUUGUUGCACACAGUUGGCAUUUACGGUUGCACCUAUGCGACGUGGAUGUGCAGAAUGGUAGCCUUGGUGAGGUUUUGUUGAGAGUAACAAAGGCUAUAGAUAGAUGGCUCUUAGGGUUUUCAUUUUGGGCAUGCAGGCCAGAGGACCCGUUACUACACAGCAUAUCUCAUUUACAAGAUUUUUGGAUCACAAAGAACAUUGAGCAUUGGUAGCAUCUAAUUACACAACACAUAAAGGCUCACUUAACACAUGGACCCCAGUCGAGCAACGUCAUUUGGAUCAGUGUCUUCCAAGGAACAUCAUUUGCCCAAAAAACAGUACAGUAUUUAGACAAUUUCAACAAAUUGCUUACCUACAUA